Molecule: ribosomal RNA, 492 nt
Filed under: uncultured bacterium
Lineage: Bacteria
Description: partial 16S ribosomal RNA
Rfam family: Bacterial small subunit ribosomal RNA
Source: RNAcentral
AGUGAACGCUGGCGGUAGGCCUAACACAUGCCAGUCGAACGGCAGCACAGUAAGAGCUUGCUCUUACGGGUGGCGAGUGGCGGACGGGUGAGGAAUACAUCGGCAUCUACUUUUUCGUGGGGGAUAACGUAGGGAAACUUACGCUAAUACCGCAUACGACCUACGGGUGAAAGCAGGGGAUCUUCGGACCUUGCGCGAUUGAAUGAGCCGAUGUCGGAUUAGCUAGUUGGCGGGGUAAAGGCCCACCAAGGCGACGAUCCGUAGCUGGUCUGAGAGGAUGAUCAGCCACACUGGAACUGAGACACGGUCCAGACUCCUACGGGAGGCAGCAGUGGGGAAUAUUGGACAAUGGGCGCAAGCCUGAUCCAGCCAUGCCGCGUGGGUGAAGAAGGCCUUCGGGUUGUAAAGCCCUGUUGUUGGGAAAGAAAAGCAGCAGGUGAAUAUACCGAUGUUCUGACGGUACCUAAAGAAUAAGCACCGGCUAACUUCGUG